This 535-nucleotide ribosomal RNA is filed under the name Amanita muscaria (fly agaric). RNAcentral's name for it is "LSU rRNA". It matches the Rfam family "Eukaryotic large subunit ribosomal RNA", at positions 92 to 617 of the family's 3401-position model. The record is from RNAcentral. Lineage: Eukaryota; Fungi; Basidiomycota; Agaricomycetes; Agaricales; Amanitaceae.
AGUGAAGAGGGAAGAGCUCAAAUUUAAAAUCUGGCAGUGUUUUGCUGUCCGAGUUGUAAUCUAGAGAAGUGCUGCCCGUGCUGGACCAUGUACAAGUCUCCUGGAAUGGAGCGUCACAAAGGGUGAGAAUCCCGUCUUUGACAUGGACUACCAGUGCAUUUGUGGUGUGCUCUCAAAGAGUCGAGUUGUUUGGGAAUGCAGCUCUAAAUGGGUGGUAAACUCCAUCUAAAGCUAAAUAUUGGCGAGAGACCGAUAGCGAACAAGUACCGUGAGGGAAAGAUGAAAAGAACUUUGGAAAGAGAGUUAAACAGUAUGUGAAAUUGUUGAAAGGGAAACGCUUAAAGUCAGUCGUGUCGGCCAGGGAUCAACUCAGCUUUCUCUGCUGGGUGUACUUCCUGAUCUGAUGGGCCAACAUCAGUUUUGACUGCUGGAGAAGGACAGAGGGAAUGUGGCACCUUUGGGUGUGUUAUAGCUCUCUGUCAGAUGCAGUGGUUGGGACUGAGGAUUGCAGCAUGCCGCAAGGCCGGGUCGUUUC